GUUCUUGCUCUUUUCUGUAACUACAGGCAGGUAGCAGGGAAGCGACUGGAGGAAAUUACAAGGGGCACUUCUGAAUAAAACUGAAAAAUGUCAAAAUUAUGGUAUACACGAGGAAAUCUGCAGAUGCUGGAAAUUCAAACAACACACACAAAAUGCCGGUGGAACACAGCAGGCCAGGCAGCAUCUAUAGGGAGAAGCACUGUCGACGUUUCGGGCCGAGACCCUUCGUCAGGAUUGACGUUACAGACUAGAAAAACUUAAGACGACGGACAGCUGUUGGCUUUCGCACAGGAGAACUUAAAACUAAAAAAAUACAAAUACUGGAGCGUACGGCGGCAACCAACAGAGUUCACGGACAGAUUGACCCGGCUGAUGACGAACAUUGAAAAACUGACCAACUCUGUUGCAUUAA
Hypanus sabinus (Atlantic stingray) is the source of this 412-nucleotide long non-coding RNA. RefSeq lists it as uncharacterized. The record is from RefSeq and is a predicted model, not a curated record. The transcript is spliced from 3 exons. Lineage: Eukaryota; Metazoa; Chordata; Chondrichthyes; Myliobatiformes; Dasyatidae.